Long non-coding RNA from Prionailurus viverrinus (fishing cat), 3281 nucleotides. RefSeq lists it as uncharacterized. The record is from RefSeq and is a predicted model, not a curated record. The transcript has 3 exons. Lineage: Eukaryota; Metazoa; Chordata; Mammalia; Carnivora; Felidae.
UCUCACCUACCUGCACAGCCCACCGUCAGCUUCCGGACCCCUCCCACCUGCUUAGACGGACGCUCUUUAAAGAGCCCAGCCCCAGAAGGCGGCAGAUCGGAGACCGCCGGCACACGGCUGCGCUUUAUCAAGAUACCUGUGCAGUGAGGGCUGUAAGGGCAAAUCCUCACCGAGGCCAAUAAGGGAGAAGGGGCAGGGAGAAGGGACACCCAAGCCACACUUGCGGGAACCCACUGACUCUAUCUGCUGUGUGGGGCGUGGGUGUUGGAGACCAGGGAGCUUCCCCUGCCGGCACCUGGUGAGGGAAGGUGGCCGGAUCUUCCACACUGACAAUUCAUUUGGCAGGGGAGCACUUCUGCCCCCGCCACGAGAGCGGCGCGACAGGUAAACAGCAGCAUAAUCAUUAACACAGCUCGGAGAGCAGGAACUUCCAGCGGCCCCAAACACCAACUCCACCAAUGUGGAGUCUUUGUCAAAAGACGCCACAACACGUGGCGAGGAGCAGUACGAUCAGAGACAGCAGGCAGAGCGGUUUCUUUUACCUAAGGGAGACCUAGGUGGAGAGAGACACGUUUCCUGUACCCUCCCCAGGCUCCCGGAAAGGUGUGCGGAAGCCGGCACCCUGGCACACUGUGUCCCGAACGCGGCAGGAUCACAGAGGAAGCCGCGGUCCGACUUAGAGGAGAUGGAGCCCCCCACUCACCGAUGAGAAAACUGAGAACCACGGGGCUCGGGAGAAGGGACACGUUCGCCCUGUCCCCCUCCCCACCCAAAGCUUCCACAUCAGGGCCUCCCUCCGGGGAACCCCUGGCAGGGACUUUUGACGUUUCAUGGUGUCAGAAGUGGGAUUCAAACAGAAGACAGCGCCCCCCACCCCCACCCCACACACAGACCCCGAGGCUGCUGAGCAAACAGACCCUGGCACCCACAGAGCCCACUGAGCUCACCACUUUCUUGUCGACCCUGAAGAGUGAAGAUGUAAAGGAUCCUUUUUCUCCUCUGUCUGAAGUUAUCUAUGACUCACAACAGUUUGGUAAAGUGUAUCUUUGCAACAAAGGUUGAAACAUUUUUCUUCCCCCUCCCCCCAUUCCUCCAGAAAUUAGAAACUCUUACUAUUCUCUUUUUAAAUUGUUUUAUUUUUUAAUUAAAUACUCUCAUUUUUCAUGACAAUAUGUGUGUUUGCAUAAGUUUAAAAAUAAUCUGUUCUCCCUAUAACAAGACAAAACUGGCUUGGCUUCCUGGCCUGGAGAUGCUUUUGAAAGUCUAAUCUGAGUUCCUUUAUGAAACAUUCCAGCAAGGUAGAUUUAAAAGCACCUAUAAGGGGGCCCCUGGGUGGCUCAGUUGGUUAAGCAUCCAACUUCGGCUCAGGUCAUGAUCUCAUGGUUCACGGGUUUGAGCCCCUCUUCAGGCUCUGCCUUGACAGUUCAGAGCCUGGAGCCUGCUUCGGAUUCUGUGUCUCCGUCUCUCUUUGCCCCUCCCCUGUUCUCUCUCUCUCUCUCUCUCUCUCUCUCUCAAAAACAAAUAAACAUUUUUGAAAAGCACCUAUGUGAUCAAUCACUAUUCCUGUGUACUUAUGUAAAUAAUCAUACCAAGUAUUUGGAAACAGUCUUAAUUUGCAAGCAAAUUAGUCUUACUGUGGUUAUCUUUGAUAGACAGGGGAUGAUUACAGAGAGAAAAAUAGGCUUCGAUAAUACAUCUUUGUGGAUAUCAGAUUCUAGUGCUGUUUCUUGUCUCUGAGAUUUUGUUUUCUACCUGUAAUCUGGACUGCAUCCUGAAUUCUUCCGGUUUCCUCCAAAAUUUGGCUAGAAUUUUCCAAACUAACAUUUCCAAUUCUCCCAUUCUCUGGACUUGGAAUCUUUAUGAAACUAAAACCAUCCUUUGCCCAACGCUGGACAACUCGAUAUCAACUUCGGAGAGCUCAGCACAACAGCUCGUGUGUGGACGGCGACCCGUGCCUGGGGCCGUGUGACUGCUUGGAAAGAUCCCCAGGCACAUUCAUGCCACAAGCUAGAGAAACGGUCAGAUCACCACUGCCCUGCUCUCGCCUCAUCUGAAGAGUCUCCAACCCCGACGUCUGCAAACUCAACCAGCCGCUCUCCAAACUCAGAAACUGAAUUUGUAAUUUGCUUGAAAUAUUAACCUUUUUCUUUUGUUGCCGUAGAAAUCUCUGUCGUUAAACUACCCGCUCGCUCGCGUCGUAUAGAGGCCUGAUUUAGAUGGAGCCCAACUGAGGCACUGGCCAACACCCUCAAGUUCACCCUGUCCUAAGCAACUGUUGGGCGAUGCGACUGUUAAGACAUUAUGCAUGCUUUUGAAAAAUAACUUUAAAAAAAUAUAACCCAUUUAAUGUAUUUGAAUUGUGACAUCUUCGCUCCUGGGAACCUCGGCUCCGGGGAACUUUUCAGUCCUCGGGUAUUGCUGCCCUUACGGUCAUCAUGCUGGCCUCUCCAGUACCUUGUACACUCUCCAGGGUUUGAAAUGCGGUAGGCAGCUCCUGGUGUGCCGAAUGGUACCCAUUAGGACCAAUCCCCUGGAUGAAAUCAACAAGAACCACAGAAAUGAUGGAGACUGCGACCACGGCCCUUGGGCCUGAGGACUCAGCAAGUCUGAAGGUGAGGGAACCCCACUGACAGAGCCACCAGAAAGGGGACCCCUCUGUCAAAAUCCAAAACAAACAGAGACCCACCUUGCAAACUCCCUGAACAGACACCACCAGUUUGGUCAUACCAACGAAGCUGAGGUAGCAGACUUUGCAAGGCUAAGUUGACCCAAGUCACUUCUUGAUUGUGCCUCUGAAAAUCAGAGCAAAGCUUCCUCUCUUUCCCGAGGUUGAUGUGAGAGGACCGCUAACCAAUUCCCUGCCGUUGAGGAAAAUUCUGAUACGAAAACCAAUCCCUGUGGAGAAUGAACACUGCUUUCUCACCAUAGAAGCCGCUCCCUAAGGACACCCCCCGAGCCCCCUUCUGUGUUUUGGUUUGAGUGUUCCCGGCUUUGCCAACUGUCUUUUUGGUGUAUACACAACAAACUCAACAAUGACGGCUUUGGCCAUCCGUUGGUUUUAUUUACUUCUGUUAGGUAGGGAUGUCUGGCGCCUCCCAAGUCACAUGGCCCGCCAGCCCACCAACGCCACCCCCCCCCCCCCCAGCACUAGGAUGGGAGGCUGAGCCCCUUGACCGUUCCUGGGUCCGUCUUGCAGAAAAAGUGAGCUGCCUCAACGAGGCUGCACGUCUGAGUUCCGGACGAGGAACAGAGGAAACUCGCCAGGGCUCUGGGGGCGACCA